GCGCUCGAGUUUCGGAGGGACAUUGGAACGCGCAGCUGUCCGUCACGCCCUCAUCUGCAUAUGCGGGUGCCCGCCCCUCCCCUGCUCCGCCCGCUCCAGCCUCCAGGCCUCGGCCGGGGGAGGGGCAGGGAGCAGAGAGGAGGGGAGGGCCGAGGAGAGGGAGGCGAACCGGCGGGAGGGACGCGCAGGCUUUUGUGGCGCAGCCGCUUCUCGCAGCUCCGGCCCCAGCCGGCCGCCCGCGGCCCUGCAGUGUCUCCAGGCCGGGCUGCGCGCCUCGGCGCACGCCCCCUCCCACUCGCGCAUAUUCUCGGCCACUUCCAGGCACCCUGAUCCAGCCGCCUCCUCCACUUAGGCCAAGAUACCUUCUACACCCCCCCUCGGGCCCGUCCAGCCGCUGCUUCGCCCCGAUCGGCCCGCACCGUUUAGGCAAGAGACCGCCCGCAGUCGGGCCGGGCCGAUUCUACUUGGGGAACUCACGGCGAGUGCACCUCUGGCCACCUCUGAAGAGGCGCCCCAGGUGACUGCACACCAGACUGCAGUGUCCAGCCCAGAGCCGCUGGGAGCUGGAGGGCAGGAUGUGGGAACCUGCAAUCCCAGUCCUCCCUGGGGUGGCGUGUGCGGCUCUCACUCCCACCUCCGUGGUCUGCACUGCCUCAAGGCCGAGGCGUCUGUGUGGCUUCGCUGCUGGCCGUCUGCCCUACGCUCCUGCGCCACCAUCACCGCCUAGGUUUGGACAUGCCCGGAGGGCACAGAGGUGAGCCUUCUGUCCUAAGUCCGCGGAGACGCCGGGCCCGGCGUGUUGGGACCUCCACGCUGGGAAUUCGCGGGGCACGCGCCGCCAAUACUUCGCCCUGAAAACGCCGCACCCCAAAAGAGUUUUAUUUUGUUUUGUUUUAAAAGUUGAUGCCUUCUUUGGAAUUUGGGGGAGUCGAUACUGGAUGAACCGCCUCUGGCAUAAGCCGAACCUCACUGCCAUCUCAGGAAGGGACAAAUGGGAGCCAGCUGGUGGCACAGCGCAGUUGGCGACAAGUGAUCAAGGCAUUUUGGACACGUCGGUGUGGAUGUCCACGUUUCAGCGAGCCAGUUUUCCAUGCGAGGCCAAGCGCUAAGAAGGGCCGGAUACGAAGCCCCGGGUUUGAGGGUCUUCGGGGGAACGCUAAGGGCUUCCUAGGCCCAAGCCCUGGCCAGACCCUGUGGAAUCCUGGGGCUCUGCGGGAGGCAGAGGAGGCGGCGACGUGGUUCCGGAGUCGCGCGGAGGGCGGCGAGGGGGCGCUGUGGCCCGCGACUGCGCGCCUUGGCUCAGCCGCAGUGGCCCCGGCGCUGCCCCAGCGCCACUGACGAGCAGCGUUAAGCCCCUGCUCCUGUCGCGACCUGCCUCUUCAGCACCGGUUUUAUUCGGGAAUUAAGGAAAACGAUACAAGGGCAUUUCAAUAAAACUUACGCCGCGUGUACCAUUUCUCAUUGUUUUAUUACUUUGGUUUUCUAUAGAGUUUUCAAGAGUUUAUGGAUAAAUAGCUACCAUUUUGGUGUGUGUAAUUUUGAGGUGCAAUUUAAGAUUAACACCCACAUAUUACAUGUGUUCUGUUUAAUGAAGAAACAUUUAAAAUGCAAAUGGUUUCAAUGUGUCAAUGUAUUUACUCAUAACCCAUGAUCCUCUGCUCCAGGAUUUCCUGGCGUGUGCCUGGAGGGAGAGACAACACGAAACAAAAAAAGAGGGAGAAGUAUAGCUUUACAAUUUCCUCUUUCUCUUUCUUCUCUUCUCUCUCUCCUCCUUCUACCCCUCCUUGGUCUUCUUCUUUUUCUUUUUUGAAAUCUGAAAUAACGUCGUUAUAAACCGUGCAAAAUCUAAGUUCAGAUGCAACGUGGUUUUGUAUCCAGCUUCAAUUACAGCCCAAGCCUCCUGUGAGGAUGUUCACUUGGAUUUCGGAUGCAUCGGUAUUCCUAGGUUUCCAAAUGCGCGCUCAUAGCUGAAGCGCUUCCCUGGCAAGGGAGCAAGGGGCAGAAAUGCUGGGAGGUGAAAGAUCCCCAGCGCCCCUGUCCCGAGGGCCAGCGGGGUCCCCUCCUGAAGAGAUCUAAAUGGCCUGAGAGGCCUGGAUGGUCCCUGGGCAGCGCUGGAAGGGACUCCAGGCAGCCCCCAGGGUGCUGGGAUGCCUGGAUUCCAGGGCCAAAGGCAGGAGAAAUUGCUUUUGUUUUGUUUUAGUUUGUUUCACCUCCUAAGCGCCCAUAUUCAGUUAAACUGCUUUCCUCACGGAGCUACCUUCUCUCCAGAGUACUGCGAGUUUCUCCGUUGCUAACCUGUCCCUCCCGGAUUCUUUUAGCGGGCAGCCAAAGUCCCAGUUCUCGGGCAGAUGCCCCGCCUCCGACGCGCUUCCUGAAGUUUCUCUGCUGCGCGGGGUCUGGAGAAGCCUCCUUUCCCCAUUUCUUAGCGUCCGGCAGACUUGGUCCCUGCCCCAGUCUCCUCGCUGUUCUCACGCGUCCCCUCGUCCUCCGCUGUCCUGCCGUCCCCACCUCCCUCAACUCUGCAGCUGCCUUUCGGUUCCCGCACGACUCACCCGUCUGCGGGCCGGGGACCCAAGCCCCUCGUGGCGAGGCAUCCGCGAGGCUCGAACUGAAGUCCCCCUGGCCUCGCUGGCCGCUGGCUGCUGUGACGCCAGGUCUUUGGCUGCGCUCGCGCCGCGCGCCCCGGAAGCGGCUCGGGCCGGGUGGGAUCCCAGCGCCCGCAGCCUGGAACGCCAAUAAAGGCAGGCGAAGGGUCACUUCUUGGACAUGGCAGACCCGAGUUCCUCCAAGGCAUCAGAAUUCAAGGAGGCGCGUUUCGGGAGCAGCGAAGGCCCGGCUUUAGUUCUUCAUGGGGCCUUGUUUGAAGGCUAAGCGGCUGGGACAGACGCCUCCGCCAGGCUCACCUUGACACUCAGAGCAGGCCCGCAGCCGGCGCUUGCAGACGCGGGUACCCGGCACGCACCGCCAUUCAGGAGGCGAGCACGGCUCGCCAAAGCUGCCCUGGGCAAGGGGAGUUGUCAAGAUUUUGUUUUGUUUUCUUAAAGUGUUUCUUCCAGACAGGCUGCAGAAGAAGUUAGCUCCCAGUCCCCUCCAGCCGCUCCCGGCGGCGGCUGGGCAUUCCUCGGAGCAGACACCAGAGCGCACCUCCGUGCUGGCCGUGCUGGGCGCAGGCCGGGAGCGCCCCGAGGCUGAGGCGACAGCAGAGGUCAACUCAACUGGCCUGAGGAGAACUUUACAGUCAUACACGGUAGCUGGGUCCAUCCCAGAAGAAGCCGACAUCAAGGAGUCAACACGCUCCCUCUCAGGCCUGGUCCUCCUUGUUCCCCCAUUAUCCAUCCUCGAUGGCGCUCCUACACACACUGAAGUUUGCACCACGUUCUCCAGCUCCAUGUGUUUCCUGGCCAAUGCCAUCAUUUUAUUCUUCUUUUUGACUGAGUAAGACUCCACUGUGUGUGUACCACAUUUAUGUGAUGCAUUCAUCUAUCGACAGGCUUCUGGACUGAUUCCACCACUUGGUCAUUGUGAGUUGUGGUGCUGCAGACACUGGUUUGCAUGUCCCGUUAUGGUAUGUUGAUUUUAGGUCUGGUGGAUGAUACAGGGAGUAGGGUAGUUGGCUCAUAUGGUGGUUCCAUUCCUAAUUUUUUGAGGACUCUCCAUAUUGCUUUGCAGAGUGGUUGUGCUAAUUUACAGUCUCACCAACGGUGGAUAAGGGCACUUUCCCCCCACAUUCUUGCCAGUAAUCAUUAUCAUUUGUAUUCUUGAUAAUUACCACAGAAUUAGUGAUUUCUAAUGUCAACUCAAGCAAGUGUCCCUCAGGUUCAGAAACGAAUUCCUGGCUCCUGUGUGGGCCACUCAGAACCCUAUUUCUUGGAGGCAAUUUUUGUAGUCAUUUUGAGUUUCCUCGUUUUUCCAACUGCACUCUCACCACUGCCUUUGUUGACCUCCUCUGUUUCUGGCAUCCAUUACUCAUAUUGACUUGCCAUGUUGGAAGAGAAGGGCGGACUGGAGUGGCCUGGGGCUGCUGGAUCCACAGACCCAGCUCAUCAGUAGUCUUCCCCAGAAACCCUCCUGGAAGCUCCCGUGGAGUCCUUUCUAACUGGGCAUCUGAGAACCACAGCAGCAGGGCCCAUGGCUGUGGCUGGUGGUGGUGGCCCCUCCCCCCUUGAUUCACCUGGGGUGCUCUUUAUACUUCUGUGUUUUCUAAUUAUGCAAAAAGCUUUGGAAGCAGCAAGGCCCAUUUUCUGGAUUUGGCUGUUGAAGCCAGGGAGACUGGAGUUCUGCACGGGAGGUCUUGGAUUUGUGAGGGAACAUCUUCAUGAGGGAGACGGCGGCUGCCAGAUGCAUGGGGACACAGCAAGCAGGCACUGUCAAAGCAAGGGCAGUGCUCUGUGCCAUACUCCUAGCAUCCGCGUGAGAGCCUGCAGCCUCGCCACAGUGUGACGAGUGGAGACUGCUUGCAGGAGCAGGCAUGCACCUGCACAGGGGUGAGAAGGAGCAUCUCCUGUGGGGCUUGGUUUGUGGUGGUGGUUUGUUCUCUAGGACCUCACUGUGUUGCCUAGGCUGGUCGUGAGCUCUGGGCUCAAGAAGCCCCCCUCCUGCCUCAACCUCCCCUGUAGCUGGGAUCACAGGCACUUGUGCCGCCGCCUCUGGCUGGCUCUCGCUAUGGUGUUUUAACAGUCUAUUGAGGAAAUCAUUUGCACACACACACUCAUGGAUCACAAGCAUGCAGAGUGAGGAGAUCUGGUGUCCACCAUGCAGCUGAGCUUUAGAGCAAGUCUUCAUCACCAGACGUGUUCUCAGCUCCCUGCCGUGGGAUCCUGCGCCUCCUGGGGUGGCAUCUGCUGGACAUGGGCACCUGUCCUAGCCGUCAGGCAGAAGCAUCACAUAGUGGACUGUCUGGCUGACUUGAGAGACCCUGGUGACUUUGAGAUUGCCCCGUGCUGUUGCUGAGCUGGCUCCCCACUUUUUGCAGGUGGUGGCAAUCCACUGUGUAGCUGCCCUGUGUUAAAUAUAUCCUUUCACUGAUUGA
Molecule: long non-coding RNA, 5029 nt
Organism: Marmota monax (woodchuck)
Lineage: Eukaryota; Metazoa; Chordata; Mammalia; Rodentia; Sciuridae
Exons: 4
Source: RefSeq, a predicted model, not a curated record